RNAcentral lists this ribosomal RNA (4140 nucleotides) under Triticum aestivum (bread wheat). RNAcentral's name for it is "partial small subunit ribosomal RNA". Lineage: Eukaryota; Viridiplantae; Streptophyta; Magnoliopsida; Poales; Poaceae. The record is from RNAcentral.
AGGUGAAGGUAGGAGAGGGGGUGGCGAGUAAAGACGUAGGGUGGGAGGAGGAGGGCGUGUCUCGUGUGUGUUCCCCUCGCCGGUACGGUGCCGCUGCUCCCUUCCGGUACUACCCCGCUGCAGCCUCUCCACCGUCCGCCGCCGCUUCUGCUCCUCGUCCUUAUAGCGGCAGAGUGUAGAGGUGGCCCUGGUUGUAGCACCACAACUCCGCCACCUCACCUCCGGACCCCUCUCAACAGAUCUUCUCCUCCUCCAACGGCCUCCUUCUCCCCUUCCCACCCCCUCGCGGCACCAGAAGGGCCGCCGCACCCACCACAACCACCGCCACUCCUCCAGGUCCCUCCGCCCGCCGUCUUCGCCUACGGAGCUUCCUCCUCCUUCCGCGAGCGCCGACGUCGACCCUAAGCUCGAGGCGGCGCCUAGUCCGAGGGCACAUGAGGGCGACGAGGAAGAAAAGUCGAGGACGGGACUCUUGCCGCCCCCGCCCGGCUGCCCACUGGGACCACACGAAGCUGGAGACGUCACCUGCGGCUGCACCCUUCUACAACCAGCUGGUCCCCCCACCCCCCUCCGUGGUACGGCACGCGCAACAGCUGCAGUUACCCGGACGCCAGCACCACCGGUUGCCGCACAAGCAGUCCCGCAGCGCCGUCGGUGGUUGGUGAAUUUCAGGCCGCUGGAGGCGCGCGAGCUACGCCAGAAGUCCUUCCGUGUAGACGAGACACGAGGAGGCCGUGGGCUGUGGUAAUUCGACUUCAGUUCCAUGGUUCAGAGAAAAAAGCAGUACUAUCGUUCUUAUUUAACAAAUUGGUACAGAGGGGUGGUUUCCAGUUAGGUAGAGAGAGAGAAGGGGAGUAGGGGGUGGGGUUCAACAAUCACGUGAGUUCAAUUAAACAUCUACAGAAAAAGUCGAUCGAGGGGCAUCUUUUACCGUAAAAAAACCAGUCAAAACACAUCUUUGUACCGUUUAUAUCUGAAAAAAUGUAAGACAUUGAACGGUACUGUUAAAUCAGAAGAAAAAACGGUACCGUUUAUAUCUAAAAAAAAGAAGAGAAAACAAAAGAUACUACCGUUAAAAGUGGGUUCAAGUGUUAGAUUUUUUAACGGUACCGUUAAAAGUCGUAAAAAACCGACACUCGUACUAUUUAGAAAAGAAUAAAAAAAUAUUGUACCGUUAAAAAAGAAACAGUACUGUACCGUUUUUAAGGGAAAGUAAAACGGUACCGUUUAAAUGAAACGUGUAUGUACCGUGUUAAAAGGGAAAAUGAGGGAGGCAAGGAUUUAUAUUCAGAAACAUCUCAAAAGUGAUACCUGGUGUAUGCCUACAUAUAUCUACGUAAAAUCUCACAUCUAAGUGAGUAAGACGAGGCAUACACCAGGUAUCACUUAAGAGAGGUUUCUGAAUGUAAAUCCUUGCCUCCCUCAUAAACGGUACGCUAAUAAAUGAGUAAAAACGGUACAGUUUAAAUGGAAAUAAAAACAGUACCUUUUUAAAUAGAAAAUAAACGGUACGGUUUUGAUUCAUUUUAAGUACCUCGUACCUUUUAAAUUGAAACAUGAAAACGGUACAGUUGAAAAUGAAAAAAACGGUACUGUUUAAAAAUCGAAGUAACGGUACCUUUUAAAUGGAAAUUAAUGAACCGUUUAAAUGACAAUGUAUGUACCGUUUAAAAUGAGAAAAAACGGUACAGUUUUUUAAAUGAAAAUUGAAACGGCACCGUUUUAAAAUGGAAUUAACGGUACCGCUGAAAAUAAGCAUUCAUGUACCGUUUAAAUGAACUUGUAUGUACAGUUUAAAAUAAGAAAAAACGGUACAGUUUUUUAAAUGAAAAUUGAAACGGUACGGUUUAAAAAUGGAAUUAACGGUACCGCUGAAGAUAAGCAUUCAUGUACCGUUUAAAAGAACUUGUAUGUACCGUUUAAAAUGGUACCUUUUUAAUUGGAAAAAUAAAGGUACCGUUUUAAUUGAAAAAUAACGGUACCGUUAAAAAUAAAUUGUAUGUACCGUUUAAAUGAAAAACAGUGAGUACUGUGUAAAUUAAAGAUUGCCUCGUACCGUUCAAACUCAAUACAAAAACGGUACCGUUUUUAUGAAAUGUAGGUGCCGUCUAAAGCUGGAAAGGUAGCAAGUACCAUUAAAACGAAGAUAUCUGAUACCAUGUAAAUGAAAUGUUUUGUACCGUUAGUGGUGAUGUGGUUGGUACAACGUAAAAAAAAAGACGAGAUGUACUACCGUUCAAAGUUAGGUGAAAAAACAGAGAAAUAAAUAUAUCAUUUUUAUCGUAUGCCUAAAAAUUAGGUGUAAAAAACGGUAGUACCAUCGGUAAACGUAUUUUUCUAGAAAAAAACUUGUCCCGUUUAAAACGAAUAUUUCUACUACCGUUAAAAAAACCGAAGUUGGGUAUCACUAACAAUCAUCAUAGAACAAGAAAUAAAAUAUAUAGAUAGCACGGUUUUAGGCUGGAAAUAAUAAGUAUCGGUUUUCGCCCGAAAGAAUCAGUGUAAUCGAAAACCUGUUUGACCCGAAAUAAAAGGACAAAAAAAAGUUGCUUCUUUUUCCGGACCCCCACAAGCCCGACCCGUGAACUGCAGGGCUUGCUGUGGCAAGCUAACUAACCGAAAGGGCACUGCUUGCUCAGCAAGCCAGACCCUCCAGCCAUGAAUAGCUACAGGACCGAGAUUCUCUGUCGCUCAGAAAGGAAGAAAUCCCCGCUCCCUCCAUGUAUUUAGAUGUCUUAGGUUUAAUUAAAGGUACAACCGUGGGCAGAGGCGCUAUUUGAGCCGGGUAUGCGCGAUCAAAGGUAUGUAAACUACCUAAAGGCUAGGCUGCCUGCGUGUCGGGUAGUUAAGGGCUAGAUUUGAAAGGUAUAGGACCAGCUAGCAAGGACAGUAUAGAAGGAGGCGUGCCCGAGCCGGCCCUGACGGAAAGGAACGUCGGCUGCGGCAAACCUGAGGACGAGCCUAGGCCACGGUUGAGGUGAAGCGGAUAUAUUCCGCCGUGCGUCGCCGCCGGAGGGGUGUGGUGGGCGUUGCGCAGGUGGAAGAGGGAAGGCCGGAGAGCGGUGGCGUGCGUGCGUGCGUGCGCAGUCGAGGUAGGAGACGUUCUUUCCGCUAGGUUCGAACCCCCACUACUACGGCUGCAGCCCGUUGCUGCGGCCGCGGACGCUGCCACUGCCGAGCGGCGUGCCCCAGUUCUUCUACACCUGGUUCCUCCUCCUGCUGGACGACGCCCUCGUCCACGCCGCGACGCCGCCGGGCGUGUUGACCCUGAGGUAGACGGCUCCCGACGGGCCGGCGUUGAGGUUCAGCACGGCGGAGGCGACCACGGUCGUGGAGCUGGGGUCCCACCUCCGGCAGUUCGGGAAGUGGUAGGUCCUCCUGUACGAGUAGCAGUUCAUGGUCCGGUGGAUGCCGUUGGCGACCAGGUGGUAGCGGCUAAAGGAGAGGCCGGCGUGGCUGUUACGGCAGUUCUUAGCGACCUUGAGACAGGAGGCGUUCGCGGUCCUCGUGCGGGGGAGGGUUGUCCCGGUCUGCGCGGGCACCCGAGGAAGGCGACGGGCUGUCCGGCGCCCGGGGCUCCAGUGCGGCGCCACGGACGGCGACAAGGGACCAAGCCGGCUCCUCCACACCCUCCGACUGUGUAGACGCCGCCGCUCCUUCACGGAGCUGGACAAGGGAGACCGCGGGCCCCUAUAGUCCCGGCUACACCUACGUCGCCGCGGCGGGUCACUGUACCGAACGCCUCGUCCGCUGGGCGAGUGGCUCGACUCCGAGACCGGCCGCGGCUCUCACCACAAGCUGCAUUACGGCGAGGUCCGAAUGGCCUACAUCUAAGAUCAGAAGAACGGAUAUGAACCAACAAGAGAGUAGAAUGAAAAACGACUAGCGCCCCUUAAAAGGAUCACCUUAAAUUAAACUAAACAUUACCUUCUUACAACAAUCCUGAGUUAACAUUGCCUUCUAGACACCUAGAACCAUAGUUGUCUUGCGACCUAAAAGACAUCAGCAUCACGAACGACCAAUCCAUUAGUUCUUUCAAGACUUGAAUCACAUUAAGAAACACGAAGAACUACUAGUUCUUUUAAGACUUACAGAACAUUAAAGGUACUGGUAGCAUUAGUUGUUUAGUUAGAAAUCGUU